Molecule: long non-coding RNA, 2287 nt
Filed under: Lupinus angustifolius (narrow-leaved blue lupine)
Lineage: Eukaryota; Viridiplantae; Streptophyta; Magnoliopsida; Fabales; Fabaceae
Description: long non-coding RNA (LANG_LNC001596)
Source: RNAcentral
UUUUUUAUGCUUUUAUAUAAAAAACAUAAGUCAAAUGUGUAUAUAUAUAAAUAGUUAGUUUUCCGAGUUGCCUCCAUACUUUUUCUUUGGUGAACAACCCUCUAACAUGAAGUUUCUUUUGUUUCUUCAAUGGCUCUUAUGCUUGACACUGCUUCUCAUUUACACCGUAUUUGCUACCAAGUAAGUAUUAAGUUGUAUUAUUCAAAUAUUUAAAUGAAAUAGGACUUGUUACUUUAGCUAUUAACCAUAAGAAAAUGUUGAAAUGCUUUUUAACUUAAACCCUAUUAAACCAGUCAUAACUAAAUUGUUGUAUUUCAAACUUAACUGAGAUUGUUUCUUGCAUGUUAAUUCUUUGACAGUGUACCCUCUUUUUCACGACGUAUGGGGGAGUUGAAAACGUGCAAUCCACCAAUACCAGGAAAGGUCAAUGGAUCCUCACAUAUUCCAACAAGGGUAAUGAAUCUGAAUUAAGUUAAUCAUAUUGAAUGUAUUAAAUUUUAACUUGAUUUUAAUUUAUUUUGAUCAAAACAAUGCAACCUAUGUUCGCUAUUAAUGAUUAUAAGUUUUAAGAACAUAUAUAUAAAAUAAAAUAGAAGGUUAUGAAGAAAACUUUCAUGUAAUAGAGUAAAGAAGAUAAUCUUAUCCCUUAAGUUGAGCUCAUUUGAUAAAGGUAGGUAUGAGACUUGAAGUGUGAAAGUGUCUUCAUUAAAAUGCCAGAAAAUAUGUUCAGAUUCUUAUUUUCCAUUCUGUUUUCCCACUUCCCUCUCCUAUGUAAGGUCUUUAGGAACCUUCCCUUAGAUUAAAGAAAAAGAGAGUUUUGUCCUACCCCAUAAAUUAUUAUAUACCUUUUUAGUGAGAGAAAUGGAAAGAUGAAAGCUAAGGAGAGAAAAAUAUGCGUUAUUUUCCUCAUUUGUAUGGUUGGUUAGGAACUUAAAAUAGAAAUAUUUAUAAGCUUGUUUUUAGAAAGACAAAAACUCCCAUAUAAAAAGAAACAGAAGCGUGGAGAUUUUUUUAUCAUUUUACAUAAAGAGUACUGAGUUCUUUUCCUAGUUUCAUUUCACGCUCUCUGUCAUUUUAGAUAGAAUUUGUGUGGAUACUAGUAUCUUUUUCUCUAAAUUAAAAUAAUAAUAGAAAGAUGUCUUUUACUUCUCUCCAGUUAUUUUUUUAUUCAAACUUCUUAAUCCUUAUUACUAAGUCUUGAUUAGAGUUGACUUGUAAAAUGAUUUAUGUCUAUUCAUCUCCUAGUUUAUAAGCUCUUUUAUAUUAUUUUUCAACUAAUUUAUUAGUUUAUUACACAAGUUAGCUUAUCUGGCUACCGUAUUCGAUACCUAGCUAGUUUUUCAAUCUUCAGCCUAACUUUUAAGGAUUGGUAAGCUUUUCAAUCAAAUUUAAUUUAUACGGCCUCUUAUGUGUAAUCUCCAAAGAUACAUGCUUUAAACCUGCUGAGUGGUUGAACAAGGUUAGCUUAUUUUCAAAGACUAUAUAGAUUGGGCACUUAUAUAAAAAUUGUUUAGUCACUGAUAAACUGGUGAAUUAAUCUUAAUAUUGGUAUGGUAUAAUAAUUAUAUCAGUUAUUUAAUUAUACUAGUCAAAAACCAACCAAAACUGGUCAAAAGAGGUCAUACGACUAGUUUUUAAUUUAACCGUAUCAAUCAUACUAGUCAAUUUCAUUUAUUUUUUUUAAUGAAAAUAACUUAUUUUUAUCUAAUGACGAUAUGGGGAUCAAACACAUAACUAAUACAUUUUUAAUCUUCUAAACAUAAUCUAUCAUCAAGUGAUACAUUUUUUGUUUUAACAAAUUGUAUAAUAAAAGUUUUUAUUGUCUUAUUUAUUAAUUUUUCAACAUUAAUCUUAGUAGAAAAUAUAUCUAUAUAUAAUUUCAUAAGUAUGUAGUUUAAUCAGUAAACCACCUGUUAAAUCACUGUUACAAUACCUUGAUUGGUUUGAUAACCGAUAUGAUAUUAAUAAAACAUUAAAAUAGGGUCAUCCAUAAGCAAAUUUCAUAAAAUAUAGCAUAUCAUCGUAUUUCAAGCACGAUAUAUAAGUACAUUUUUUUAAUGAAAACUUUGCUUUUUUUAAAACCUAUAAAGUUUGAUGUACAAAAUACAAGUAACAUUGUUCAAUAAAAUAUACCUUGCUCUUAUCUACACUAACAUUGUAAAAUUAACCACAGGAUUUUGGACGAAUCAGUGAUCAUCCAGUUAGCCCUCCGCCAAAAGUACGAGGGUCCCCUUCAUCAACCCCAUAAAGAAUCAUACAAUACAAAUUGCAGAUUCCUUCUUCCAUG